GAUGAAGAACGUAGCGAAAUGCGAUAAGUAAUGUGAAUUGCAGAAUUCAGUGAAUCAUCGAAUCUUUGAACGCACAUUGCGCCCCCUGGUAUUCCGGGGGGCAUGCCUGUUCGAGCGUCAUUACAACCCUCAGGCCCCCGGGCCUGGCGUUGGGGAUCGGCGGAGCCCCCCGUGGGCACACGCCGUCCCCCAAAUACAGUGGCGGUCCCGCCGCAGCUUCCAUCGCGUAGUAGCUAACACCUCGCGACUGGAGAGCGGCGCGGCCACGCCGUAAAACACCCAACUCUUCUGAAGUUGACCUCGAAUCAGGUAGGAAUACCCGCUGAACUUAAGCAUAUCAAUAAGCGGAGGA
Molecule: unclassified non-coding RNA, 352 nt
Filed under: soil metagenome
Description: partial contains 5.8S ribosomal RNA, internal transcribed spacer 2, and large subunit ribosomal RNA
Rfam family: 5.8S ribosomal RNA (bases 1-120)
Source: RNAcentral